AAGUCGUAACAAGGUUUCCGUAGGUGAACCUGCGGAAGGAUCAUUAACAUAUUCCAACUCUACACGCGUCUUUGGGAGAGGGUUAACCAGCCGCGUUCAUCCGCCGGUUGGGACAUCCUUUCCCACUCAUAAAAGAGACACACACUUUUUAUCCACCUUUGACAACAAAACACCAAUAGCACCCUCGUUAAGAGAGUACUGUUACAGACAUAUACACACACCAUAUAUAUAACAAUAUGUGGUGGUGGUAAAGUCAUAUAAACAACUUUUAACAAUGGAUCUCUUGGCUCUU
Molecule: unclassified non-coding RNA, 292 nt
Filed under: fungal sp.
Lineage: Eukaryota; Fungi
Description: partial internal transcribed spacer region
Rfam family: Eukaryotic small subunit ribosomal RNA (bases 1-46)
Source: RNAcentral